RNAcentral lists this ribosomal RNA (253 nucleotides) under uncultured bacterium. RNAcentral describes it as "partial 16S ribosomal RNA". It matches the Rfam family "Bacterial small subunit ribosomal RNA", at positions 524 to 776 of the family's 1533-position model. The record is from RNAcentral.
UACGUAGGGUGCAAGCGUUGUCCGGAAUUAUUGGACGUAAAGGGCUCGUAGGCGGUCCAUCACGUCGGGAGUGAAAAGCUGGGGCUUAACCCCAGUCCUGCUUCCGAUACGGGUGGACUAGAGGUAGGCAGGGGAAAACGGAAUUCCUGGUGUAGCGGUGAAAUGCGCAGAUAUCAGGAGGAACACCGGUGGCGAAGGCGGUUCUCUGGGCCUUACCUGACGCUGAGGAGCGAAAGCGUGGGGAGCAAACAGG